This 253-nucleotide ribosomal RNA is filed under the name uncultured bacterium. RNAcentral's name for it is "partial 16S ribosomal RNA". It matches the Rfam family "Bacterial small subunit ribosomal RNA", at positions 524 to 776 of the family's 1533-position model. The record is from RNAcentral.
UACGAAGGGUGCAAGCGUUAUUCGGAAUCAUUGGGCGUAAAGGGUGCGUAGACGGUAUGUUAAGUCUGUUGUUAAAUCUUCCGGCCUAACCGGAAAUCUGCAGUAGAUACUGAUGUGCUAGAGGAUGGAAGAGAGAAGUGGAAUUCUCGGAGUAGCGGUAAAAUGCGUAGAUCUCGAGGGGAACACCAAUGGCGAAGGCAGCUUCUUGGUCCAUAUCUGACGUUGAGGCACGAAAGCGUGGGGAGCAAACAGG